AGAUAUUGUCUCUAGAAACAUCAUUGAGACCAGGAGAUGACAUUGCAUGUGUGGGUGGUGGAACUAAUAGGUUGGAUAAGGUAUAGUGAGCAGGACUAGAGGCUCUACAGUGAAAUAAGCCAAUAAACACUAACCAGAACAGCAAUGGACAAGGCAUAUUGACAUUAAGGAGAGGCAUGCUUAGUCGAGUGAUCAAAAGGGUCCAGUGAGUAGGUUGGUUGGGGGUCACGGCGAUUUAGACAGCUAGCCAGGCCAUCGGUAGCAAGCUAGCAUAGGAUGGAGGUCUGUUAUUAGCCACCUCUUGCGUUCCGUCAGUAGAUUAGUGGGGUUCCGUGUGGUAGAGGGGAUUAAUCCAAAUCACACAAAAAAAAAACAAUAGAUAUAGUUAUAGAGGCCCAAGAAGAAAAAAAUAAAUAAAAAAAAUAUAAAUAAAUAAAUUGUCUGAUUGUCUAUUCAGAUAGCAGCCGAUAAGACAGCUAACGGUUAGCGGGCCGCAGAUGGGCGUUCAGGUAACGUCGCGACGCAGGAGCCAGCCGGAUAACUCCUUCAGGUAGAUUAUGUCGGCAGUCCAGCUGUGAAGGCCCGGUGGGGCUCCGCGUAGGCAGUAAAACGGGUCCGGAUAGGUGAUUGUAGCCCAGGAGUGAUUGAUGGAACUCUUCAGCUGGCUAGCUCCGGAAUAAUUGAUGUAAUUGACUAUCGACGAAAGCCGAUAGUCACACGGAUAGCAGCUAGCUAGCUGUGAGAUCCAGCCAGGUAUGAAUGUCCAGAGUUAGCGGUUGAAAUCCUGGGACAUGGAGAGAAAAAUUGGUUCGGUAUGUUCCGUUCCGAGCCGCGCUGCGCCGUACAAAACUGGCGAUAGAUUUUCGAGCUAAAGGAUAGCUGAUGACCACAAACCGUGGUUAGCUGAAUACGAACGAUUAGCAAGUAAAGAAGCUAACUAGCUUCUGAUUAGCUUCUGGAUUAGCUUCUGGCUAGCUCCUGGCUAGCUUCUGGCUAGCUUCUUGGAGGAUUACAGAUUUGAGGUAAAUAAUACUUUUUUUAUAAAUAGAAAUUGGUGAGGUGGGUUUAUGGAAAAUUAAAAAAAAUAUAUAUAAAAAGGUAUGUGAAAAAAGUAGUAAAUAUAUAUAUAUAUACGGGUCACGACAAGAUGAGGACAAAAGACGUCUGAACUGCUAUGCCAUCUUGGCAUUAUCAGAAGUGAAUUUAAUUAAUGGCAUUUAGCUAACCUGUCUGCUUUGCUUUGCUUUUGUUACAGUUUAUAGUCAAAGUUAACUUGCUCCUAACGCUCUAGGGAAUAACUUCAUUGGCCACCUCAAUAAUUAUGAUAACCCUUACACGGAACCCAAACCGGCUGCGCGCGUGCGCCAUCGUGAGCAAAUUGAUUUUGUCCCCCCACACCACACGCGAUCAAGACACGCAAGUUAAAAUAUCAAAACAAACUCUGAACCAAUUAUAUUAUUUUGGGGGCGGGACGAUGUUUUUAACGUCUUUUCAUGCCUGCAUUUUCCAGUGAUCCUGAUGAAAUGUAUUUGGAUUCUUCUGAUUUCACCUGUGAUUGAGGAGUGAUAACAUGGGUAUUUGGCUUCUGGAGACUAUUUGCAGCCUGGCCUUCGCCUAUCGUCUUGGAUUCGAGACAGUGUCGCAGUGCAUUAUGGAGACCUGUGAGGCCAUAGAGAGGAAGAUGCUGGCGAUCCAUCUGCCAUGACCCACUGAGGAAACCUGGAGACAAACUUCAAGAGUUUCAUGAAAAAUGGGACUUUCCCAAUUGUUUGGGAUCGGUUGAUGGAAAACAUGUUAUGAUCACCAAACCACCAAACUCAGGGAGACGUUUUUUUAAAUUAUAAAGGAACCUUCUGUGGUGUUACUCGCCCUUGUGGAUGCCAAUUACCACUUCACAGCUAUUCAAGUGGGGGAUUUUGGGAGAAACAGUGAUGGAGGAGUCUAUGCCAACUCCCCACUUGGAAGGGCAAUGGCAUCAAAAACACUGCAGGUGCCUUUCUGCCUGGGGGUGAAGAUUUAGGAAAGAUACCAUACACAUUGGUGGUGCACGCUGCCUUCCCACUAAAGCCCUACCUGAUGAGGCCAUAUGCCGGGCAUAACAUCAGCUACGAGAAAGAAAUCUUCAACUAUUGUCUCUGUCGAAUGACAGUGGAGAAGGCAUUCGGGAUCCUUGCGGCCAGAUGGAGAAUCCUCUACCAAAAAUAAACCUACUGCCAAGCGAGGUUGAUACCCUAGUGGUUGCAAUGUGCAUCCUCAAUUUCCUCACAAGCCUUUUGAUGUGGAGAUGUGGUUACAGCAAGGUGGGGCAGGGAUGAGGCAAGGCAUGAGAGGCAUAGCCAUCCAGGCCAAUAGAGCAGGUCAGGAGGCAGUUUCUGUCAGACAAAAGUUUACUAAGUAUUUCACCUCUGUGGAAGGCAAAAUUGACUUCCAGGACAGAAUGGUUGUAGCUAGGCCUACUUACUUAGAUGCACUGUGUGAGAGUGUGUGUGUGUGUAGUUUAUCAACUCGGGAUAGUAAGUUCAACUUUGACAUCUUCAUUUGUUUUGUGUAUUCAUUCUACACUUUAAAACGAUUGUACAAUUCCACCAUUAUUUCAACAACGAACAAAAAAUGUACAUGAACAUUUGAAAAAUUGAAAUACUUGUAAUUUUCAACAACACAAAAAUCUCACAUGACUGUUGGCUUCAGAGGAUUUAUGUAUUAAUAAAAGCAUACAGCACACAUGGCAUUUACAUUCAGCUAACGCUAGCUAGUUUGUUUUAUACCGAGGAUGAACAUUGGGUUGUUAUACUUUACCUGAAAUGUGCAUGGUCUUUGCAAUCUCUCUCCAUAACGCAUCUUUAUUAGUUGGAUCCUUGUUGAAUUUUGAAGACGGGUCAUAUAAAAGUGAGUACUUCUCUACUUCAACGAUAAAUCUCUCCUCGUCCAUGUUUCAAGCACCCACGUUGGCUUUUGUUUACAGGAAGUAGGGGACGGACGUAUGUUUGUUGUGAGAACCAAUGAGUUUAUGAGAGGCGGAACUUCCAGACUUGAUAUGUCGGUUUGCAACCAAUUUAAGGUGCAUUCCGCCACCAACUGGACUGGAGUGUGUACCUUGCAGUUAGUCUUUCAGUCACACACGUGGGUAUAACCAAUAAGGAGAUGACACAUGAGUACCUGACAAACCAAUGAGGAGAUGGGAGAGGCAGGACUUCAGUGCAAUCUGUGUCAGAAAUAGAAUUGAUUUCUAUUUUAGCCCUUGCGUCACAGACGCUCGCGAGCAGUGGGUGCAAUAAUUGAAUAACAUGGAUUUCUAAAUUUAUUUUGCAACACUUGGGCACGCGACGUGUCCGUGUAAUGGUUUUCUUGAGUUGAAGGAGAGGCGGACCAAUACGCAGCGUGGUUACUAUUCAUGGUUCUUUAAUAAAGCAACAACGCAUGAACAAAUUAACAAAACAAGUGAAAAAAAAAAAAACCCAAAACAGCCCUAUCUGGUGCAAACACAGAGACAAGAACAAUCACCCACAAAACCCAACACCGAACAGGCUACCUAAAUAUGGUUCCCAAUCAGAGACAAUGACUAACACCUGCCUCUGAUUGAGAACCAUAUUAGGCCAGACAUAGAAAUAGACAAACAAGACAUCCAACAUAGAAUGCCAACUCAGAUCACACCCUGACCAAACAAAACAUAAAAACAUACAAAGCAAACUAUGGUCAGGGUGUGACAGUCUGGUCUGGUCAGCAUGUUAUGAUUAACUUAGACUCAGCAAAUGAAGAUAAGUAAAAUAUUUUUCAGUGGGUUAUACUAGACUAGGUCAGUGUGUUAAUGCUGCUGGACCCCAGAGUACUGAACAAUGUCUAGCUAAUCUAACACAUCUGUUUCAACUCAUGAAGACAGAACUAUGUCAGAGAGAUGCCUAUAUUGUCCAUUACUGUGCUGGGUCGGAGAAGGACUGAGAAACAUUUGAGUAAGCUGGUUCGAUUGCACAUGUGAAGAUUUGGGAUUUCUGUUUAAAACCAGGUAUACGUGGCAGAGCAAAAAUAUGUGAAACUGUCUGAGCUGACAUUUGAUUCUUUCUUGAAAGAAGGCGUGUGUGCGUUACCUUAGGUUUGAUGGUGCCUUUAGUUAGUUAAGUUGUAUUUUUCUUCAUAUUGACACUAGUCCCCAACUAUUUCACCUUGACACACAAUGUCUGUGUUUUUUUUCUUCUUCAGUUUUCAUCAAAUUCAGCAUACCAGAGGAAAGACAGUCUGACAUCAACGUGUAUGACCAGUCUCACACAGAAAUUGACUCAGAGGUGUUUGAAGGGAUUGCAAAGGAGUCACCUGGCACCUUCUGGACCACUCUAGGCGAUGAAGGACUUGCUUUUCAAUCAUCAUCGUCAUCCUCUGUAAGAUCUGAUGACACUAAUUCUGAAUUUCACUGUGUGACCAUCAUGAAGAAGCAGCCACUGGUGAAGGGAGCCAACCCAAAAGAUAGUGCCAGAUAAACUAAGGCUAAAGCGUUGAUUGAAAGAAUCCGAACAUCAAAACCUGGUGGUGAACGCAUCAUACAAGAGUAUGGAAAACCAAGACUCUGACAGAUGCCACCAGAAGGCAGAUGUCAGGAUGAUGUAUGCACAGGGAAUUGUUGCAUUGUUUCCUUAUCUCGAAGACUCAUUUUCAAAAAAUGUAUAUGAACAUUACUAUGAUCAAGAGAGUGGGUCUGGAUACAUGGCAUGAUUGAAGACCAUACAAAAAAAAGCACAUUUCCCGAAGUUGGUGGGCCAGGCCAUGGUCGAUAGCCCUUUCACCCGUGACGAAGUGCCAACUAACGAAGACAUCGAGGCAGCCAUUGCUGUUUUUAGAUUUUCUGCUGAUGAAGACUCUGUCCGGGAGAAGAUGAAGACUGCCUUCCCUCAUUGCCAAGCUGAUGCAGACAAAUCAGCAGAUGUCUUCUCAGUCUUCCCCAGGGUAUUGGAUAUACCAGGACUGAUAGAACAAGACUUCAGGCUUCUGUUUGGUGAGGCCACAACCAACAAGUUCUUGGAGAAGUGGCCAACCACUUUCAAGGGAAAAGUGAUGGAAAGUGAUGGACUUACACCCACCACAGAACUCUUGGAAUUGAUGUGCAAUGCUGAGUCAGCUGUUGAAAAUGAGAAUGGACAGAUGUCUGCAUGUCAAGGGGUUGAUCAGCUCAUCAGAUUUCAAAAGGUUGGAACCAGUGUGCAGCAGCAUCUGGAUAGCAUCACCCAAAGCGGUCAGCCCUACCUUCUUGCCUUGGGAUCCAUAAAGAGCAGCAUUCACUCCUACUUUGUUGUGAUCGACAAGCAUGCGGUUCCAGUAGGAACCUUUGACGAACUCUUUAAGGCUCACUUCAUCGUUGGUACAUCAUACAGUUCUUGCCUGAGUAACUUCUUCACUUUUGUGCAAACAACCAUCUACAACAUUGAUAUGGGGGAAACAAAGGAGACUCCCCAAGUUGCUGAGUUGAGAGCAAGAAUGUUGCGUUAGUGAAGAUCUGCUAAGGUGAAAUUAUGAAGUGUUUUCUAUGCAAGACUGAGCAUACAAGUUCCGCUUCAAGUGUCAAUCAGAAAAUUAUGAUUGUAUAAUAAUAAUAAUAAUUGUCAAGCACCUUAAAGUAAUUAAUGGACUUUGUCCAGGGAGAACUCUUUAUCUAAAAUGUGGUCAAGUGGGAUGUUCACGUUCCUUUGGUAGCUUUUCUGGUUUUAGAAAGCAUUUAAGUAAUUGCCACAUUAGCAGUUUAUUUGGUUCAGUCGGUGGUGUUGAUUUUUCAAACUCUCAAAGCACCUUUAACACUUGUAAAGGUAGUGAUGUUGGAGAAGUGUUGACUGAAAAUGUAGAGUGAGUCAGCGACGUCUUCCCCAGACAUUGUAAAUAGUUGUGCGUCUGUAAUUGCUGAUCUAAAGGCAGCAGGUGUAGGUCAAAGUACAGUUAAUUCUGUUGUGAAUUCCAUGGAAGAGAGAGUUCAUGAUAUCCAACAGCGAGCUAAAUAAACUUUCGUUAAGCAUGUUCUAUGUGAUGAAGGACAAACUGAAAUAUCCAAGAAAGGAGGCAUCUUUUGAAGGGUUAGAGAAUCCUUUCACUGUGCUAAAUUCUGAAUACAAGAUGUCCACAUUUUUCAGAGAAGUGGGAAACUGUAGAACCAGUUGAACAUGUCAUUGGCUCAAGAUUUGACACAAGACGAAACAAAAAGACUGGAACAUAUGACCAGAUUGUAGUUCAAGACAAAUUCAUGUAUGUUCCAAUAUUGUCUACCUUGCAGUCAAUAUUCAAAUGUAAACAUGUUUCAGAGAUGUUUCGCUUUCCUAGUGACACAAGACUUGUGUGAUGGAUCUUUUAUUAGGAGUCACCCUCUUUUCUCAACAGAAAGACACGUCAUACAGAUUCAAUUGUUCUAGGAUUAUUUUAAGGUUGCAAACCCUGUGGGUUUCAAGUGAGGAUUUCAUAAAUUGGGUGCUAUAUAUUUUACUUUAAGGAACUUCUCUCCUAAAUGGAAUUCUUGUUGGGCUAACAUAUACCUGUGUGCCUUAAUUCAUGCUCAAGAUCUUAAAUGUUAUGGAUUAGGGCAAUCCUUGCUCCUAUUGUUUGAGACAUUAAAGUGUUAGAGUGAUGGCAUUGUGGUUCCUUUAUACAGUGGUUGUGUUCAUGGCAGUGUGGUUCAGGUUACUGGCGAUAAUCUGGGUCUACAUAGUUUGUUUGGCCUGGUGGAGUCUUUCAGCGCAAGUUAUUGCUGUCUUGCAGAAAAAGAUGACUCAGACAGAAUUCUCUGAAGAUUGUCCCAAGAUAGCGUUGUGAACUAAAGAAAUGCACACUGCUCACUGUCAGAGAAUGAAUAGAAAUCCAUCUCUUCCAUACGUUUUUGGUGUGACGCAUUCGUGUUUAUUAAACUGAGUAUUAUCACAGAACUGAGAACUUCUCAGUUGAUGUGAUGCAUGAUGUGUUAGAGGGUGUGGCCCAGUACGAGUUGAAGUUAUUUAUCUGAAGAAAAAACAUGUAACAUCAGCAGAAUUAGAUUUAAGAAUACAAAGUUUGAUUAUGAUUAAUGGAAAGAAACAAACCCGUGGCUGUGAAUUUAUCAGAAGGAUCGAAUGAUUUGGGGCUUAAUGCAAUUCAGUCACAGUGCCUACUGAGAAACGCUCCUCUUAUUUUGGGGGAUUUGGUAACUUCUACUGAACAGCACUGGGGCCUACUCCUUUUAUUACUUUAAAUAGUUAACAUAAUAUUUUCUCCUAUGUUAACAGAGGGUCUCUGUGUUUAUUUAAACAGUUGUUUUCCCAGAGAGAACUUUUACCAAAGCACCAUUUUCUAAUCCAUUAUCCCCGCUGCAUCUAGAAAAUUGGACCUGUAAUUCAUAGUUGGUGUAUGCAGUAUGAAGGUAAGCAUGCUUUUUUGAAACUACAAUCUUAAAUAAAAAUUUCAAAAAACUAUAUGGCGUAUAAUUGGCAAUCCUCUACACUUUUUAGUCAAUAAGACAUUGGUCCUGUGAAAUGGUGCCUUUGAAUAUGGUAAAAGCUGGUUCUAUGAUUGCUGUGGCAAUUAGCACUCAGGUUAUGAAAGUGGACUGGGCUAAAUACCAUGGCUUUGUUUACCGCCCAAGCAUGUUAUCUGUUGUAAAAUUGAAUUUGAAAUGCCUCCGUUUUAUCAAAUGGAAAAGUGUUGCUGCUCACAGUGCCUUUAAUUACUCUAGCUUUUCAAGAACAUUUCAAUGUGUACAAAGUAACCAAGUCAAAACAUGGUUUUGUUUUCUUUCAUGUCCGACAACCUGCAUUAUCAUAGACCAUUUGAUAUACAAAUGUCGUAUGGAAGGAAUUAGAUAUCUAUUUGUUGUCCCAUAUUGCUUUCUCUGGUGAGCAUGUCACUUGCGAUGUUGACAGUGUAAAUGGUUACAUUGAUUAAAGGCAAGGUGAGGGGUGGGUUGAUGUGCAUUAACAUUGAAAUGGAUUACUUUUAUCAUGUGUAAUUGUGUUUAUUCACAUUGACACCAAGUUAAGUAAUUGGGUAAUACUACUGUGCAGUGGA
This is a long non-coding RNA of Oncorhynchus tshawytscha (Chinook salmon), 8001 nucleotides long. The record is from Ensembl. NCBI's taxonomy places the organism in Eukaryota, Metazoa, Chordata, Actinopteri, Salmoniformes, Salmonidae.